RNAcentral lists this ribosomal RNA (504 nucleotides) under Triticum aestivum (bread wheat). Its description in RNAcentral is "partial small subunit ribosomal RNA". The record is from RNAcentral. Lineage: Eukaryota; Viridiplantae; Streptophyta; Magnoliopsida; Poales; Poaceae.
AUGGUGUGGAAACUGGCAGUACCACCCAAGAUACAUGUUUUCCUUUGGUUAUUUUCCCAGAAUAAGCUUAUAACUAGGGAUAACCAGAGGAAAAGACACAUAAUCAAACCUCUAGAGUGUGUAUAUUGUGCUGAGCAUGAGACCAAUCACCAUCUAUUUUUUGACUGUGUUAUAGCCAAAAACAUUUGGUCUUUUGUCAAUCUUUUUUUCCAAAAGGAGGUGGGCUUGAAUUUUGAAUCUAUGGCCCACUUCUGGAUUUCUCAAAAACACGUAGCUUUGAAUAUAGUUAGCUCUGCUGUCCUGUGGUGCUUAUGAAAAUAUAGGAACUCUAUGAUUUUCAAUAACACCAUUUGGACAUCCAUUACUCAGGUUUGGGGACUGAUACAUAGAAUGAUCAAAUUCUGGGUGAUCUUGACCCCAUAAGUGAACAAGGCCCAGAUGGAGACGUUCUUGGAAGCAUUGAAGAAGCUUCUCCAACAACCUUUGAUGAUCCCAAGUGGCUGA